CUCUUCUGUCCUGCCUUUCUUUGCAGCCAAGCCUCUUGGUGAAGGUGAUCUGGCUUCUCAACCCACAUCCAGGACUGAGGCUCUGGGAGAUGGUGAGGGUGUGUCUGCAGGGAGGACUUUCCAGGCUCCUGGGCUGGAUGCUGCACGCAAGCCCAACUCCCAUCGCAGGGGUCCUCCAAGAGAAAAGAACAAAGCUACAGGACACCAGAAACCCCUUGAGCCAUCCAUGCUCAAUACCAUGCAGCAAAUGCUGAAGGAAAUGCUGCA
Cyanistes caeruleus (blue tit) is the source of this 267-nucleotide non-coding RNA. NCBI's taxonomy places the organism in Eukaryota, Metazoa, Chordata, Aves, Passeriformes, Paridae. The record is from RefSeq and is a predicted model, not a curated record.